This 511-nucleotide ribosomal RNA is filed under the name Theodoxus aff. schirazensis var. major AFS-2019. Its description in RNAcentral is "partial 16S ribosomal RNA". It matches the Rfam family "Bacterial large subunit ribosomal RNA", at positions 1828 to 2597 of the family's 2925-position model. Lineage: Eukaryota; Metazoa; Mollusca; Gastropoda; Cycloneritida; Neritidae. The record is from RNAcentral.
GUCUCUUAGAAAUUAUUAAGAGUCAGGCCUGCCCAGUGAUUGCUUUUUUAACGGCCGCGGUACCCUGACCGUGCAAAGGUAGCAUAAUCAUUUGCCUUUUAAUUGGAGGCUGGUAUGAAUGGUUUGACGAGAGUAAAGCUGUCUCAGACACAUUAAAUAGAAACUAAUUUAAAGGUGCAAAAGCCUUUAUAAAACAAAAAGACGAGAAGACCCUGUUGAGCUUUAAUUUUAAUGAGCACCAACUUUAUAUUAAUAUAAUUCAUUUGCUCAAUAAAAAUUUUAAUUGGGGCGAUUAAGGAACACAAUGAAGCUUCCUGAUUUUAAUAUUAAAUAUCCAUAAAUUAAAUCGAUCCAGCAAUGCUGAUUAACAAAACGAGUUACCACAGGGAUAACAGCAUAAUUCUUUUUCAGAGCUCAUAUCGAAAAAAGAGAUUGUGACCUCGAUGUUGGACUAGGGUAACAAGAAGGUGGAGCAGCUUUCUUGCUUGGUCUGUUCGACCAGUAAUUCCCU